RNAcentral lists this ribosomal RNA (506 nucleotides) under uncultured bacterium. Its description in RNAcentral is "partial 16S ribosomal RNA". It matches the Rfam family "Bacterial small subunit ribosomal RNA", at positions 29 to 523 of the family's 1533-position model. The record is from RNAcentral.
AUUGAACGCUGGCGGCAGGCCUAACACAUGCAAGUCGGACGGUAGCACAGAGGAGCUUGCUCCUCGGGUGACGAGUGGCGGACGGGUGAGUAAUGUCUGGGGAUCUGCCCGAUAGAGGGGGAUAACCACUGGAAACGGUGGCUAAUACCGCAUAACGUCGCAAGACCAAAGAGGGGGACCUUCGGGCCUCUCACUAUCGGAUGAACCCAGAUGGGAUUAGCUAGUAGGCGGGGUAAUGGCCCACCUAGGCGACGAUCCCUAGCUGGUCUGAGAGGAUGACCAGCCAAACUGGAACUGAGACACGGUCCAGACUCCUACGGGAGGCAGCAGUGGGGAAUAUUGCACAAUGGGCGCAAGCCUGAUGCAGCCAUGCCGCGUGUAUGAAGAAGGCCUUCGGGUUGUAAAGUACUUUCAGCGGGGAGGAAGGCGGUGAGGUUAAUAACCUCGCCGAUUGACGUUACCCGCAGAAGAAGCACCGGCUAACUCCGUGCCAGCAGCCGCCGUAA